This 254-nucleotide ribosomal RNA is filed under the name uncultured bacterium. Its description in RNAcentral is "partial 16S ribosomal RNA". It matches the Rfam family "Bacterial small subunit ribosomal RNA", at positions 524 to 776 of the family's 1533-position model. The record is from RNAcentral.
UACAGAGGGUGCAAGCGUUGUUCGGAAUUAUUGGGCGGAAAGCGCGUGUAGGCGGCUUUGCAAGUCGGGUGUGAAAGCCCUCAGCUCAACUGAGGAAGUGCGCCCGAAACUGCAGAGCUUGAGUACCGGAGAGGAUGGCGGAAUUCCCGAAGUAGAGGUGAAAUUCGUAGAUAUCAAGAGGAACACCUGAGGUGAAGACGGGUUGCUGGGCCGACACUGACGCUGAGUGCGCGAAAGCCAGGGGAGCAAACGGG